AGCAGCAUCAGGCGCGGUCGCCCAGCAGCGCCCUCACUGCAAAGUCACACACCCGGCGGGGCGUGGGGCGUCGGUCCCCUCCUGGCCCGCGCUGGAAACCUGGAAGUCUGUUGCUAAAAUGCACGCGCCGCUGCGCGGAGCCUAUGAUGACACUGCUUUCCAAGGCGGCUUCUCUCCCUUCGGCACUGAGACACGCGAGCCAUGGAGCUCUUGGGGCUCUGGCCCUGGAGUGAGGCCCACCGACUCGGGCUGGCUCUGCCACUGAAGGGCGAUGAGACCUUGGCAAGCCGCAUCUCUCUUGGGAGCCUUGAUUAUGCUACUCUGAAAGGGAUCAUAACAGCUACGCCACAGGGUUCCAGGAGGGCACACCACGCCGAUAGCUGCACCACGGAUGGCAGAGAAGUCCUCAUUUGUGCCUGUCCCAAAGGGGGCUGCACAGGGCUAGGGAGAAUUUCUGGUCUACCUGUGGUGCCUGUUCAUCUCCCGAGCACCUUCCAUGUGCUGGGCGAACUCACACGCACUGAAUUUACAAGAAGUGAUGCUGCAUCCUUGAGUCCCAUCCUUUAUGGUGGAGGAAAUGAACCUUGGGGGGAAACCACCUGGAUCAGAAGGAGAAAGCAGCUGCUCACAUCCAUCUCCCCUCCCUUGACUGGAAAAUUCCAUCCUGCAGGCUGGCAGAACAUUCCUGCAGAUCGGCUCACUCCUGCAACCUGCGGCCAUCUGUCCCCAAGGUCUUGUUAUGCUGUCCAGGCUGGAGUUCAGUGGCUUUCACAGGAGCACCCAUGGCUCAGCGAUCUUCCUGCCUUAGCCUGGGACUACAGGCAUGCACCACCAAACGUAGCAUAUUAUGACAUUUUUAAUAAAAGAUUUAAAAUAUGCCAAAAGGCAUAAAGGUGAAUACCCUGAACUCUAAUGUAUCCCCAACCCACUACAAGAAAUAGAACAUGGCGAGUGUGGUGGAAGUCCAGGGUCACUGCCUCCAUUACGUCCCCCUUGCCAGCCCUGCCCUGCUCCCAUCCCCAUGGUGAAUUCACCCUGUAGUGAAUCUCCUGCAUAGUGAGGUGUCCACAAACCAUAUAAACACUUGUGCACGUUUUUAAACUUUACGUAAGUAGAAUCGCAUUGCAUAUCUUUUUCUGCACCUCUUUCCCCAAUCAGCGUUAUGUCUGGAAGACUGAAUCACGGACUCUCUAAACCACAGACUUUUCCAUGCUGAGUUUCCAAAUCACAGCCUUUUCUAAUCAUAGACAUGGGCUUGGGCUCUGGUGCUGGGGGGACCUUGCUGGCAGGCUUUUGCAGGGCCCUCCUAACAUCUCUGCCCAGCUCCACCCUUCACGUGCAGGUGGCUGAUGAAGGGAGGAAGCAGCCGGAAGCAAUUAUCUCUGGAAACGUGUGUGGGCUUCUGGAAGCUUGGCAA
This is a long non-coding RNA of Callithrix jacchus (white-tufted-ear marmoset), 1417 nucleotides long. RefSeq lists it as uncharacterized. NCBI's taxonomy places the organism in Eukaryota, Metazoa, Chordata, Mammalia, Primates, Cebidae. The record is from RefSeq and is a predicted model, not a curated record.